AUGCUUGUGCCGCAGGGCAUCAACAUGAAGGAGAUCACAACGACGAAGAAGAAGACGAAGAAGCUGUCGGUUGUCGUUAGUGCUGGCGAGACCGACGAGGAGGCGAUGGCGAGGUUUUCUCAGGAGCAUCCGGAGUAUGUCCAGGCCGAGCUGGAGUACUACUGGAAGCGUGAUGCGGAGCAGAAGAAGAAGGGGCCAAAGAAGGAGGACGAGGCCGGUCCCUCGACGGUGAUCCCCAUGGAGUCCUCUUCCGAGGAGGACUGGGCAGACUUCUCGGACGAGGAGGAGGAGGAGGGGUGCGACGACCCGACGAAGGAGGAGUUCUGGGCGUAG
This 333-nucleotide ribosomal RNA is filed under the name Triticum aestivum (bread wheat). RNAcentral's name for it is "partial small subunit ribosomal RNA". Lineage: Eukaryota; Viridiplantae; Streptophyta; Magnoliopsida; Poales; Poaceae. The record is from RNAcentral.